This 332-nucleotide unclassified non-coding RNA is filed under the name soil metagenome. RNAcentral's name for it is "partial contains 5.8S ribosomal RNA, internal transcribed spacer 2, and large subunit ribosomal RNA". The stretch from base 1 to 120 matches the Rfam family "5.8S ribosomal RNA", at positions 35 to 154 of the family's 154-position model. The record is from RNAcentral.
GAUGAAGAACGCAGCGAAAUGCGAUAAGUAGUGUGAAUUGCAGAAUUCAGUGAAUCAUCGAAUCUUUGAACGCACAUUGCGCCCUUUGGUAUUCCUUAGGGCAUGCCUGUUCGAGCGUCAUUUAAACCUUCAAGCUAAGCUUGGUGAUGGGUGACUGUCCGCUUCACGGCGGACUCGCCUCAAAAUUAUUGGCGGCCGGUACAUUGGCUUCGAGCGCAGCAGAAACGCGAACUCGGGCCCGUCGUAUUGGCUCCCAGAAGCUAUCUUCACAAUUUUGACCUCGGAUCAGGUAGGGAUACCCGCUGAACUUAAGCAUAUCAAUAAGCGGAGGA